UACGUAGGGGGCAAGCGUUGUCCGGAUUUAUUGGGCGUAAAGAGCUCGUAGGCGGUUUGGCAAGUCGGGUGUGAAAACUCCGGGCUCAACUCGGAGACGCCACUCGAUACUGCCAUGACUCGAGUCCGGUAGGGGAGUGCGGAAUUCCUGGUGUAGCGGUGAAAUGCGCAGAUAUCUGGAGGAACACCGGUGGCGAAGGCGGCAUCCUGGACCAAUACUGACGCUGAGGAGCGAAAGCCAGGGGAGCAAACGGG
RNAcentral lists this ribosomal RNA (254 nucleotides) under uncultured bacterium. Its description in RNAcentral is "partial 16S ribosomal RNA". It matches the Rfam family "Bacterial small subunit ribosomal RNA", at positions 524 to 776 of the family's 1533-position model. The record is from RNAcentral.